RNAcentral lists this ribosomal RNA (372 nucleotides) under uncultured organism. RNAcentral's name for it is "partial 16S ribosomal RNA". It matches the Rfam family "Bacterial small subunit ribosomal RNA", at positions 527 to 896 of the family's 1533-position model. The record is from RNAcentral.
GAAGGUGGCUAGCGUUGUUCGGUGUCACUGGGCUUAAAGCGUAUGUAGGCGGAAGAGUAAGCGUUUUGUGAAAUCCCUCGGCUUAACCGAGGAAUUGCUUGACGAACUGCUUUUCUUGAGGCAAGUAGGGGUGCAUGGAACUCUUGGUGGAGCGGUGGAAUGCGUAGAUAUCAAGAGGAACGCCAAUGGAGAAAUCAGUGCACUGGGCUUGUCCUGACGCUGAGAUACGAAAGCGUGGGGGGAGCGAACGGGAUUAGAUACCCCGGUAGUCCACGCUGUAAACGAUGUCUACUAGGUUGUGGGAGUUCUGACACUGUCGCGACCGAAGCAAAAGUGUUAAGUAGACCGCCUGGGAGUACGGUCGCAAGGCUA